UACGUAGGGGGCAAGCGUUGUCCGGAAUCAUUGGGUGUAAAGCGCGCGUAGGCGGUCCGAUAAGUCUGCUGUGAAAGUCGGGGGGCUCAACCCUCGGAUGCCGGUGGAUACUGUCGGGCUUGAGUGCGGAAGAGGCGAGUGGAAUCCUGGUGUAGCGGUGAAAUGCGCAGAUAUCAGGAGGAACACCAAUUGCGAAGGCAGCUCGCUGGGACGUUACUGACGCUGAUGCGCCGAAAGC
Molecule: ribosomal RNA, 238 nt
Filed under: uncultured bacterium
Lineage: Bacteria
Description: partial 16S ribosomal RNA
Rfam family: Bacterial small subunit ribosomal RNA
Source: RNAcentral